CUGAGACACCCCCCCCCCCCCCUUAUUUUUGAAUUUCGAAUUCAAGCUUCUUUGUGAAGCUGUUGAAACCCUCAGUUGUUAGCUAUAAAUAGAAGCCUUUACUGAGCUAUUUUUGGGGAGAUAGGUUCUAAGUGUUGGAAAUUCCCUCUUGAACAACCCCAAAAAAAAUCCCAACGGCUUUAUCAAAAAUCCUAUUUUUUACUCUAAGUUAGGGCUCUCAAAAAAAUUCUUUUUAACUCUAAGUUUGUUUUUAUCGAAUUCUCGGUGGUUCUCGGCUAAACAAGCUUUCAAGAGGAUUCGGAGACUUGACAACUAUAGUAGCCUCAGUUCAUUGUCCCGCAAAACGUUAGUAAUGGCCCUCGCUUCACCUUUUGUCUUCAGUUGUUAGGAGCGUAUGUAUAUGCAGUUAUUAAGUAAUGUUUUCAUCGUAUUGCCUAUUUGAGCUUGGUUUGCUGCUCUGUUCGGUUCUGCCCUAAAUCUGCAUAUAAAAGAUAGCUAAGAAUACAUGAAGGAACUAUCGAUUAAAUUUUAGAACAUGUGAAUGAGCUCGUCGCUCGUUUAAAUCCUGUUUCAUAUUUCUGUUAUAAUCUCUCUUGUUAUGUCUAUCAAAUCAGUAUGUAUUGUAGCCAAAUAGAGCUAAAAAUAUAGUCAUUGGAUUGUUUGUUGGUAGCUGGUUUGUCCUCUGUUUGUUUCGAAUUUGUUUGGUUUUAAAUAGUAGAUGAAGAGGGGUAAAGGAGACUAACUGCUCCUGGAAAAAUGGCAGUUCGACUUUUCCAACACUAGCAUCCUGUCAUUUUUUUUAACUCCAUCCAUUAAUCUAGAAGGACUAUUUUAUUAUAAAUCUAGCUGAAAACAGUACAUAAAGAUUUUGGCGUAAGUUGUGAGUUUUCAAAAGCCAACUUGCUGACCCUUUAGGAUAUAAACCUGCGUCUGAGUCAGUGUUUGUAUGGAUUCUGAAAUACUGCAAUAUUGAAAUAUAAAUGAGGUCACGAAGUAGUAAGAAUGCCAAGUUUGGUUUUAAAAUCUUCCUUGUGUUAGGUAUGUGUUAAUUGGUUCAUGUUAAAAAUUUUGAGUAGGUUUGUUGUGAAUUUAGUCUUCUCACUACUGCUUGUUUUAAAAUCACCACCAUAACAUUUUGGAAAGAUUUUUUAAUUUAGUAGCAUAUCUUUUAGCUGAAUCCUCACAAGUAGUGUGCGACACUUUUGAGCUUUAUGUCUAAAAAAUUUUACUUCCUAUAAUGGUCAGAUGAUCCAGUUUGGGAUUUUAUAAUAUGGAAAACAAAAAUGCUUGUUUGAAGCUUUGUCUCUGUUUUGUUUCUCGUGUAUCUUUUUUUGUAUUUUGUUUUACAAAGAUUAUCAAAGUGUAAAAAAUGGAUAAAUUAUUAUGUACUACCUGAGAUUGUCUUCUCUUUAUGCCUGGAUAACAAGGUUUCUUAGGCAUUCUAAUGACACUAAAAAAUCUGAAUAGAAUUAAAGAGAGCGACAGUUUGUAAUGGCUGUCACUUUGUUUUGAAUACCUUUGUAAAAUGAGUACAUGCUAAACAUAAUUUCCAUGCUAAAGUUCUGGUUUGUUAUUUUGCGCAUUCCUGUGGAUUUUAUGGUCUAGAAAUAAAAGCUAUAAGACUGAAAUUUUGCUUUAACAGUAGACUAUUACACAUUCUAGUUAAAUCACGAUAGUUAGUUUAUUUCAUGGGUUGGAAUUGUUAAUACAUCUCUUUUUCCUGCAUAUAAGAAGUUUCAUUUGAACUUGAUCGGUUUCUAGACUAAUAUGACAAAGGUCCGGGGUAUUAAGUGACAUAGUGCUUUGAUGCUUUGGUCUUUUAAGCCCUUUGCAUGUGUGUGGAUAUGUACUGCAGGUUCUUUCUUUUAGCAGCAAUUUACAAGAAAUCUUAAACUUGAUUGAGCCUUUUAAGGCUUGCUUAUUAAGAAGUUAUACAAGAAGGUUUUGAAAUAAGUUGAUAACUUGUUAGUUAUUAUCUCUCUUGUUUGGACUUUGAACUAAAUGCUGUAUUAUUUAAACUAAGUAAAGGACCUACCAUUAAGGUGAGAUAAUCUGUGUUGCUUCCUUUUUUUUAAAUGUUGAGUUAGAGUAAUAUUUGUUUGACUGUAUAUUUUCAUGUAUAGAGCCUUGUGAAUAUAAAGUAUGCCUCCUAGUAGUGAUGUAUAUAUCUGAAGUUUGAGCUAAUCUAGAGAUAGGUUCCUGGGAAGACCAUUUAAACAAAUUAAUAGAUCCAUUUUCUUGUUCACUUUAUUUCUUCUUGAUUGAGAAUAGUUACUAAUCCUUUUCUUCUUUUCUUUUUCAUGCAACACGUGGGAGCAUUUGGAGUUAUGGCAACUCCGGAUUCUGCCCAGAUCAGAGAAGAAACCAGUAGCAGCCUCCUUUGCUCGCGUCUAGCGUCCUUCGUUCGCGUCAAGCGUCCCUGUCUUCCUCCUUCUCUUCAAACUUUAUGUCUUUGCGUUAGCAUAUACAUAAAUGUUUAUAUUUUUGACUAACACUUUGUAUGGAUUGUAUUUGUAGAGUAUUUUUGUAUUGCUUGUGAACGAACCUGUGGAAAAAUGGCUGAGCAUAACAGCGAGUUUAGUCCUUA
Long non-coding RNA from Lycium ferocissimum, 2587 nucleotides. RefSeq lists it as uncharacterized. NCBI's taxonomy places the organism in Eukaryota, Viridiplantae, Streptophyta, Magnoliopsida, Solanales, Solanaceae. The transcript has 2 exons. The record is from RefSeq and is a predicted model, not a curated record.